Molecule: ribosomal RNA, 119 nt
Filed under: Mustela putorius furo (domestic ferret)
Lineage: Eukaryota; Metazoa; Chordata; Mammalia; Carnivora; Mustelidae
Source: RNAcentral
UCUGGGGCCAUCCCAUCCUGGACACACACCCCAUCUCGAGGAAUCUGGGAAGCUCGGCCGGGUCAGGCCUGGUUAGUACUUGGAUGGGAGACUAUCAAAUAACCAGGAAGGCUAUAAAG